RNAcentral lists this ribosomal RNA (403 nucleotides) under bacterium. Its description in RNAcentral is "partial 16S ribosomal RNA". It matches the Rfam family "Bacterial small subunit ribosomal RNA", at positions 355 to 776 of the family's 1533-position model. The record is from RNAcentral.
UGGGGAAUAUUGCACAAUGGGGGAAACCCUGAUGCAGCGACGCCGCGUGAACGAAGAAGGUAUUCGUAUCGUAAAGUUCUGUCCUAAGGGAAGAUAAUGACAGUACCAUAGAAGAAAGCUCCGGCUAAAUACGUGCCAGCAGCCGCGGUAAUACGUAUGGAGCGAGCGUUGUCCGGAAUUAUUGGGCGUAAAGGGUACGCAGGCGGUUUAAUAAGUCGAAUGUUAAAGAUCGGGGCUCAACCCCGCAAAGCAUUGGAAACUGAUAAACUUGAGUAGUGGAGAGGAAAGUGGAAUUCCUAGUGUAGUGGUGAAAUACGUAGAUAUCAGGAGGAAUACCAGUAGCGAAGGCGACUUUCUGGACACAAACUGACGCUGAGGUACGAAAGCGUGGGGAGCAAACAGG